AUUGAACGCUGGCGGCAUGCCUUACACAUGCAAGUCGAACGGCAGCACGGGGGCAACCCUGGUGGCGAGUGGCGAACGGGUGAGUAACGCAUCGGAACGUGCCCAGUAGUGGGGGAUAACUAGUCGAAAGAUUAGCUAAUACCGCAUACGACCUAUGGGUGAAAGCGGGGGACCUUUACCGGCCUCGCGCUAUUGGAGCGGCCGAUGUCUGAUUAGCUAGUUGGCGGGGGUAAAAGCCCACCAAGGCUUCGAUCAGUAGCUGGUCUGAGAGGACGACCAGCCACACUGGGACUGAAACACGGCCCAGACUCCUACGGGAGGCAGCAGUGGGGAAUUUUGGACAAUGGGCGCAAGCCUGAUCCAGCCAUGCCGCGUG
RNAcentral lists this ribosomal RNA (376 nucleotides) under uncultured bacterium. Its description in RNAcentral is "bacterial SSU rRNA". It matches the Rfam family "Bacterial small subunit ribosomal RNA", at positions 30 to 403 of the family's 1533-position model. The record is from RNAcentral.